GAUUUUCUACUUUACCGUUUAAGAGCGUCAAAUACAUAUAUGCAUCGUCAGGAAGAAAUAAAUUGAUUAUUUCACAUUUCUGCAAACGAGUUUCUUACCAUGAUUGAAUGGCCAUACUAUUUCAAAUUUAAGCAGGGCAGUCAGAAUGCAUUUAUAUCGAAAACUUUACUGAAUUAAUCAAUAAAAAUCCCCAAAAUGCAGGUUAGAACCUCAAUGGCACAUUCAUGCUAGAUAAACAAAUUCAUAUUUUGAACCAUAGACUAUCUCAUAUACAGCAAUUGUACCAAGUCUCGCGUGAGAUUGGUUAAAUUCCAUACCUAUUACUGAUGCCUCUCAUCUCACUUCUGGUAAAAUAGAAAAAUAAAAUGCAGUGGGAGUGCAGGACAGAAGACCGAGGUACAUAAACUACAUAAAUCUUAUGUGCUUGGAGCUCUAUUGUUCUAUGCAUUGUCGUAAAAUAUCAUAGGCCUGAUUGAAACCUCAGUUGCAUCCAUGGAAACAUUAAAGGGAGCAAUUAUAUCAUAAAUAAUGUCCAUUAUUCUAUCCUCACUUGGUUAGUGACCAAGUGGCUACAGAUCGUAAACAGAUGCUUGGUGGACCAUAAAAGUAGAUAUUCAAUAGUUUAAGAGGCUAAAUUUUAUUAAAAAAAACUGUUUUGUGCAGAGCUACAAAUCAUGAGCAACUGUAACUAAGUGUAGACAUUACCAACUAAAUAUUUUCAUAUAAACGUUCAAGUUCUUGAACAACUUUUCAAUAUCAAGGAUCUUUGUACGGUGGACAGCUAUCUCUAAAGAGCACUAAGCUCCUAGGGUUGGGAGUGCUUCUGGUUCAACGGCGGGUCGUUGUCGCCGGCCCCACCUGUGGGCAUGUUGGCAAGUCUGUGGAGCGCUUUCCUUCUGCGUGGGCAUGAGUGCGUGUUGGUGUCUCUCAGUCUCUGUGUGUAGGGCAUUGACUGGCCUUCUGUAUGUCGGUUCUGUCGACCGUAGAAUUAGGCUCGCUCCCGUUAAAAGACAAAAAAAUCAGGUACCCGCAUCCUCUUCUGUUCGCCACAUAGACUGCCUUCGCCGCCUCUUAUGCUCCCCCGCUGAGUUGCGGCAACCAUCAAGACACCCCCACCACCGUCACCACCCGCAACGAGGAUUUGCUGGCUCCGUCUAGAGGAGGCUAGGAAGCAUUUAACGCGGCAGGUUGCGGAGGCGACGACUGAUGGAGGCGGGCCUGAUCGGUCCGGGGUGUAGGCGAGGUCAUCCAAGGUUGUUCUGUUGCCAGUUCCCUUAUAGGAGGCGUGGCCGUGUGACAAGGAUGCCGAGGGUCAAUAUUCCACCACCCCAGUGUCCAUCGCCGUCACGCAGGACGCCCGAGUAGAGGGCCUAUGCUCCGGGCGAGAUCCUCCUCCUCCUCGACCCUGUAUCUGUGGUUUCUUCUUUUUUCCAUUAAACUAUUCACAUCUAUAGCUUUUCCUUCUUUCCCCCAAUAGAUUUAUGAUUUGAUUUAGGGAAGAAAAGGUCCAAACCUGCAAUACUCCGUAUGUGAUUUGGAGGUUAGGUAAUCUGUUGGCAGUAGAUCAUUUUGAUAUUGAAGUGAAGAGGUUGAGAUGGGAGAUUUUGUUUUUUCUUGAUGCUUAAAUUACCGAUUUGGUAGCAAUUCCAAAAAUUUGUAAUCCAUGUCCAAUGUUUUUCUCGAUGACAAGAUUUAGUGGUACUUACUUCUACUCCUACUCAUCUUUUUGUGGAGAAACUACAAGAAACCUUUAACAUAUUUGUUAUCUUAUGUCCUGGAAAUUGCUGUAGAGAUUUUUUUUUCUAUAACUAUAUUUUGUAAUAAUAGUUUUACCAUUAGUUUGCUGUCAUGUUAUUCGGUCAACUCGAGGGUAUAGAUUUAGUGGUACUUACUUCUACUCCUACUCAUAAUUUUUCAUUGUUUGCUUCUGUAUCCUUUGAUUUUUUUACUUCAGAUGACAUAUGGCGCCUAAAGGCUUAGUUGAGCAAUUUUUUCAUGUACUUGAUGCAGCUUGAAAAUACACCUACCAGCAGAGAUUCUAUUGGUGCAAAUUGAUAUUUGAAUUAGAUGGAGAUGUCGGCUAGCAUUAUCAAGCUAGAUAAAUGUAUGAAGUACUAACCAUGUAGCUAUGUAAACCAGAAACACAGAUGCUGAUGCAAGUGAUCCCCGUGGCCUUGAAGGGUCUAGAUCGCUCAAUACAAAAGAACAUAAUAGCACAAGAAAGAAAGGUGGAAAGUAACUAGACAGAGUGUGCGAAGUAUGGACUAUGCAUAAAAGAUUGCUACAUCAUGAAGUGGUUUAAUACCUACGUUGAAUUUUCCAUUUUCUCUUCUAGACGAGGAGCAUGAACAAGAAAGUUAGUGGUGGUGGGAUGAAAAUUGCUCCUAGGCUGGAAGGUCGAUGGAUAUGUUCUGCUUGCUAGAGAUUUGAGUUCUUGAUUGUUUUUGUUUGCCACGCCCAUCAAACUCAUAUUGCCUCUUGUGCAUAUUGUCCCACACGAUUGUAGGAGCAAGGUUGGACUACCAUCGACCUUGAAUGUUUUGGUGUUUCGAUGAUUGUAGUUAGUGACUUGGCCACAAGUGAAUACCAAACUAAAAUGUGUUUUCAUACAUUGUAUCUAGACAAAUUUGGGUCGCUUUUUUUCUGAACAGAAUACAUGCCGACAAAAAAACAACCAUGCCGCAUAAAUUAAACGUUGGUACCGGAGGAUGACGCUGCAGAGCGCGCUAGGUUCAUCUAGUACAAAUCUAUCUUGGGACCCUAGUCUAUACAAGAAAGCAGCUAUGCCAAGAUAUAAUUUUUAUUUAUACUAGACUUUUAUAGUUUUAUUUUUAUAAGAUACAAACACAAGUAAUUUAUUUUUCUAGUUAAAACCACAUAACAUUAGUGUUGCAUAUUAGUCAUAGUGUUAUUUGUUAUGCAUCUCUAGCGCCCAUCAUUGAAAAUUACAUACCCGCCACACUAAAUUUAAAUUGAGUUUUGUAUCGUAUUUGUUUUUCCUUUUUUGAGACAAUGCCACUAAAUAGAUUAAGUGUAAUUCCUUUAAGCGCGAUGAAAUAUUAAAUUUUAUGUAUUCAGAAAUUUAUAGAUGAAACUUGCCUAAAUUAUAGUGUGUAUGUGUAUGUGUUUGUGUUUGUGUAUAUUUAAUAUUAGUAAUUCACCAAAAUAUUUAGAGAGUGGUUUCCAGUGCUCCUGGGUCGUGGCCUCACCUAACAGCCCAGUCCCACCACAUCCUGACAUUUCAGCCUCAUCCACUCCUGUCGCAGGCAGAAUUUCCAAAUCUCCCACCUCUCUCCUUCGCGUCUGAGUUCUGACGGGAGCGGCCAUGGCAUCGGCUGCAGCUGAGAAGGGGAAGGCCCCAGCGGACGCGGCGGAGUCGUCGGCGGCGAGCGCGGCGCGGCUGGCGCGCGAGUGGAGCACUUGGGCGAUGAAGAACGCGAAGGUGGUCGCCCACUACGGCUUCAUCCCACUCGUCGUCCUCGUCGGCAUGAGGUCCGAGCCCCGGCCCAGCCUCGCUCAGCUCCUCUCCCCCGUGUAGCGCCGUUCCUCCGCAAGGAUGCGCACAUAAUUGGGUCGAUUGCAUGUUGUAUUUUGCUCCCUGCAUAAUUACUGUUCCUUCCUGUUUGUUCUUAUUUUGUACCAUUCAGAGAGCCUACAAGCUAAUGUUUCAGUUGCCCCGGCAAAGGAUUACGCAUUUAUAUCUUCUUAUUAAGACUAGGGUUAAUUUACUUCUUGAUACUGA
Non-coding RNA from Lolium perenne, 3742 nucleotides. NCBI's taxonomy places the organism in Eukaryota, Viridiplantae, Streptophyta, Magnoliopsida, Poales, Poaceae. The record is from RefSeq and is a predicted model, not a curated record.